Molecule: long non-coding RNA, 525 nt
Organism: Lepidothrix coronata (blue-crowned manakin)
Lineage: Eukaryota; Metazoa; Chordata; Aves; Passeriformes; Pipridae
Exons: 3
Source: RefSeq, a predicted model, not a curated record
GCAUCAUAGCUCAGCCACAAAGAUAACUCUCUACCACAAGUUUCACAUCCCUCUGUCAGUGCACAGAGGCACCAGGACCUCGAACCAGCUCAGUGCUGUCCCAAACUCGGGACUACGGCAUUCCAUGGGACGUGGCAGCUCCGGAGACGUAUGGAAACUGUCAUGGGCAGCAAUGAAGGCCCUUGCCAGUAGACCUUUCCACGUCUAAUGUAAUAUUACCCCAGCAUCCAUCCCUGAGGAAUGAAGUUUCCCUGCAAGCGUUUUUCGAGAGACUUAUGAUCAACUAAAUUUUCUUUGCUGAGCAGCAAUUCCUGGAAAAUCCUGCAACGUAUUCAAAGACUUUCCUACUGCUUUUGGAGAAUUAGCUCUGGGCAAAACGAUAUAGUCUAUUGAAGCCAUAUCUGACCCAGAAAGUAUUAACUGAAGAAUGUGCAGGACAGCUGCUUAUCGGAAAGAAAAGACAUGCAGUGCAGGAGAAUGACAUGUAGAGCUACUCGAGUUAGUUCUGAAUGACUGUCAGCUCUC